AGAAGAGCUUGCUCUUCGAUUCAGCGGCGGACGGGUGAGUAAUGCCUAGGAAUCUGCCUGGUAGUGGGGGACAACGUUUCGAAAGGAACGCUAAUACCGCAUACGUCCUACGGGAGAAAGCAGGGGACCUUCGGGCCUUGCGCUAUCAGAUGAGCCUAGGUCGGAUUAGCUAGUUGGUGGGGUAAUGGCUCACCAAGGCGACGAUCCGUAACUGGUCUGAGAGGAUGAUCAGUCACACUGGAACUGAGACACGGUCCAGACUCCUACGGGAGGCAGCAGUGGGGAAUAUUGGACAAUGGGCGAAAGCCUGAUCCAGCCAUGCCGCGUGUGUGAAGAAGGUCUUCGGAUUGUAAAGCACUUUAAGUUGGGAGGAAGGGCAGUAAGCGAAUACCUUGCUGUUUUGACGUUACCGACAGAAUAAGCACCGGCUAACUCUGUGCCAGCAGCCGCGGUAAUACAGAGGGUGCAAGCGUUAAUCGGAAUUACUGGGCGUAAAGCGCGCGUAGGUGGUUUGUUAAGUUGGAUGUGAAAGCCCCGGGCUCAACCUGGGAACUGCAUCCAAAACUGGCAAGCUAGAGUACAGUAGAGGGUGGUGGAAUUUCCUGUGUAGCGGUGAAAUGCGUAGAUAUAGGAAGGAACACCAGUGGCGAACGCGACCACCUGGACUGAUACUGACACUGAGGUGCGAAAGCGUGGG
RNAcentral lists this ribosomal RNA (697 nucleotides) under Pseudomonas sp. RNAcentral's name for it is "bacterial SSU rRNA". It matches the Rfam family "Bacterial small subunit ribosomal RNA", at positions 72 to 765 of the family's 1533-position model. Lineage: Bacteria; Pseudomonadati; Pseudomonadota; Gammaproteobacteria; Pseudomonadales; Pseudomonadaceae. The record is from RNAcentral.